RNAcentral lists this ribosomal RNA (301 nucleotides) under uncultured bacterium. RNAcentral's name for it is "partial 16S ribosomal RNA". It matches the Rfam family "Bacterial small subunit ribosomal RNA", at positions 509 to 808 of the family's 1533-position model. The record is from RNAcentral.
CAGCGCCGCGGUAAUACGGAGGGUGCGAGCGUUAAUCGGUGUAACUGGGCGUAAAGGGCACGCAGGCGGUGACUUAAGUGAGGUGUGAAAGCCCCGGGCUUAACCUGGGAAUUGCAUUUCAUACUGGGUCGCUAGAGUACUUUAGGGAGGGGUAGAAUUCCACGUGUAGCGGUGAAAUGCGUAGAGAUGUGGAGGAAUACCGAAGGCGAAGGCAGCCCCUUGGGAAUGUACUGACGCUCAUGUGCGAAAGCGUGGGGAGCAAACAGGAUUAGAUACCCCAGUAGUCCCUGUCUCUUAUACA